This 495-nucleotide ribosomal RNA is filed under the name uncultured bacterium. RNAcentral's name for it is "partial 16S ribosomal RNA". It matches the Rfam family "Bacterial small subunit ribosomal RNA", at positions 28 to 507 of the family's 1533-position model. The record is from RNAcentral.
GACGAACGCUGGCGGCGUGCCUAAUACAUGCAAGUAGAACGCUGAAGGAGGAGCUUGCUUCUCUGGAUGAGUUGCGAACGGGUGAGUAACGCGUAGGUAACCUGCCUGGUAGCGGGGGAUAACUAUUGGAAACGAUAGCUAAUACCGCAUAAGAGUAGAUGUUGCAUGACAUUUGCUUAAAAGGUGCAAUUGCAUCACUACCAGAUGGACCUGCGUUGUAUUAGCUAGUUGGUGGGGUAACGGCUCACCAAGGCGACGAUACAUAGCCGACCUGAGAGGGUGAUCGGCCACACUGGGACUGAGACACGGCCCAGACUCCUACGGGAGGCAGCAGUAGGGAAUCUUCGGCAAUGGACGGAAGUCUGACCGAGCAACGCCGCGUGAGUGAAGAAGGUUUUCGGAUCGUAAAGCUCUGUUGUAAGAGAAGAACGAGUGUGAGAGUGGAAAGUUCACACUGUGACGGUAUCUUACCAGAAAGGGACGGCUAACUGCGUG